GGACGAACGCUGGCGGCGUGCUUACCCCAUGCAAGUCGAACGGAAAGGCCCUGCUUUUGUGGGGUGCUCGAGUGGCGAACGGGUGAGUAACACGUGAGUAACCUGCCCUUGACUUUGGGAUAACUUCAGGAAACUGGGGCUAAUACCGGAUAGGAGCUCCUGCUGCAUGGUGGGGGUUGGAAAGUUUCGGCGGUUGGGGAUGGACUCGCGGCUUAUCAGCUUGUUGGUGGGGUAGUGGCUUACCAAGGCUUUGACGGGUAGCCGGCCUGAGAGGGUGACCGGCCACCAUGGGACUGAGGUACGGCCCAGACUCCUACGGGAGGCAGCAGUGGGGAAUAUUGCACAAUGGGCGGAAGCCUGAUGCCGCAACGCCGCGUGCGGGAUGACGGCCUUCGGGUUGUAAACCCCUUUCGCCUGUGACGAAGCGUGAGUGACGGUAAUGGGUAAAGAAGCACCGGCUAACUACGUG
Molecule: ribosomal RNA, 469 nt
Filed under: uncultured bacterium
Lineage: Bacteria
Description: partial 16S ribosomal RNA
Rfam family: Bacterial small subunit ribosomal RNA
Source: RNAcentral